RNAcentral lists this long non-coding RNA (287 nucleotides) under Nicotiana benthamiana. RNAcentral's name for it is "long non-coding RNA (NBEN_LNC015622)". Lineage: Eukaryota; Viridiplantae; Streptophyta; Magnoliopsida; Solanales; Solanaceae. The record is from RNAcentral.
AUGGCUCUAAUUCGACUUCCUAAACUCGAACCCCUGCUCUUGAAACUGUCCGAGUUCCAACCUCAUUCGAAAGGGAACGGCCUGGGAUUUGGCAAGGGGAGAAAGAUGAUGGUUAUUUGGUGUUGGUUUGAGUGAAAUUUAGGCAGCUUUUCAUGCUUCAUUUGCCCGUGAUAAUGGCGGAACAAGGAUGCUAGGGCUGAACGGAGGAGACGAGGAACAGAUGGUUUGGUCUUUGAUUAAUGAAGGGAACUUCUGACAUCUAUAAAGAAAUGGGUUGGAUCUUGAAG